RNAcentral lists this ribosomal RNA (89 nucleotides) under Bacillota bacterium. Lineage: Bacteria; Bacillati; Bacillota. The record is from RNAcentral.
CCGUUCUCAUACCGAACACGGAAGUUAAGCUGCACAGAGCCGAUGGUACUGUACGGGACACUGUAUGGGAGAGUAGGACGUUGCCGCAU